RNAcentral lists this transfer RNA (57 nucleotides) under Litomosoides sigmodontis. RNAcentral describes it as "tRNA-Phe". Lineage: Eukaryota; Metazoa; Nematoda; Chromadorea; Rhabditida; Onchocercidae. The record is from RNAcentral.
ACUUAUUUAGUUUAGUUUUGAAUAGUAUUUUGAAAAGAUACAGGCUUAAUUUAAGUG